AGGGCACCACCAGGAGUGGAGCCUGCGGCUUAAUUUGACUCAACACGGGAAAACUCACCCGGCCCGGACACUGGAAGGAUUGACAGAUUGAGAGCUCUUUCUUGAUUCAGUGGGUGGUGGUGCAUGGCCGUUCUUAGUUGGUGGAGCGAUUUGUCUGGUUAAUUCCGAUAACGAACGAGACUCUAUCCUACUAAAUAGUUCGCACCGCCUUUGGUCGGCGCGGCAUUCUCUUAGAGGGAACAGGAGCCACUCAGCCGCAUGAAAUAGAGCAAUAACAGGUCUGUGAUGCCCUUAGAUGUUCGGGGCCGCACGCGCGCUAACUGAAGGGAUCAUCGUGCCCCCCCUUUGCUCAGGGACGAGUGGGCAACCCGAGCCCCUUCCUCGCGGAAUCGUGGGGCUUUGGAACUAUUGCGAUGCACGAAGAAUUCCAAGAAUGUGCCAUUCAUCGGCGUGUAAUGAUUACGUUGCUGCCUUUACUACCCGCCGUCCGUCCUACCGACUGAAGAAUGAAUGACGAUG
RNAcentral lists this ribosomal RNA (519 nucleotides) under uncultured eukaryote. RNAcentral describes it as "bacterial SSU rRNA". It matches the Rfam family "Eukaryotic small subunit ribosomal RNA", at positions 1161 to 1709 of the family's 1831-position model. The record is from RNAcentral.